This 328-nucleotide ribosomal RNA is filed under the name uncultured eukaryote. RNAcentral's name for it is "partial 18S ribosomal RNA". It matches the Rfam family "Eukaryotic small subunit ribosomal RNA", at positions 1470 to 1796 of the family's 1831-position model. The record is from RNAcentral.
CCCUUAGAUGUUCUGGGCUGCACGCGCGCUACACUGAUACUUUCAGCGAGUCCACCACCUUGCCUGGGAGGGUGGGGUAACCUCUGGAAAGUGCAUCGUGAUGGGGAUCGAUUAUUGUAAUUAUUAAUCUUCAACGAGGAAUUCCUAGUAAGCAUGUGUCAUCAGCCCGUGCUGAUUACGUCCCUGCCCUUUGUACACACCGCCCGUCGCUCCUACCGAUUGGGUGUGCUGGUGAAAUGUUCGGAUCGGCCGUUUGUCGCGGUUUCCGCGUCAUGUGGCUGAGAAGUUCAUUAAACCCUCCCACCUAGAGGAAGGAGAAGUCGUAACA